GCGGCAGGCCUAACACAUGCAAGUCGAGGGGUAACAGGGAUUGCUUGCAAUCCGCUGACGACCGGCGCACGGGUGCGUAACGCGUAUGCAACCUACCUUUUACAGGGGUAUAGUCAAGAGAAAUUUUGAAUAACACCCCAUACGAUCAUUUUUACACCUGUAAAGAUGAAGAAAACUCCGGUGGUAAAAGAUGGGCAUGCGUCCUAUUAGUUAGUUGGUGAGGUAACGGCUCACCAAGACCGCGAUAGGUAGGGGUCCUGAGAGGGAGAUCCCCCACACUGGUACUGAGACACGGACCAGACUCCUACGGGAGGCAGCAGUGAGGAAUAUUGGACAAUGGAGGCAACUCUGAUCCAGCCAUGCCGCGUGCAGGAAGACUGCCCUAUGGGUUGUAAACUGCUUUUAUACAGGAAGAAACCUUGGUACGUGUACCAAGCUGACGGUACUGUAAGAAUAAGGAUCGGCUAACUCCGUGCCAGCAGCCGCGGUAAUACGGAGGAUCCAAGCGUUAUCCGGAAUCAUUGGGUUUAAAGGGUCCGCAGGCGGUCUUUUAAGUCAGAGGUGAAAUCCUAUCGCUCAACGAUAGAACUGCCUUUGAUACUGAAAGACUUGAGUUAUUGUGAAGUGGUUAGAAUAUGUAGUGUAGCGGUGAAAUGCAUAGAUAUUACAUAGAAUACCGAUUGCGAAGGCAGAUCACUAACAAUACACUGACGCUGAGGGACGAAAGCGUGGGUAGCGAACAGGAUUAGAUACCCUGGUAGUCCACGCCGUAAACGAUGGAUACUAGCUGUUUGACCAACAUUGGUUGGUUGAGUGGCUAAGCGAAAGUGAUAAGUAUCCCACC
RNAcentral lists this ribosomal RNA (844 nucleotides) under uncultured bacterium. RNAcentral describes it as "bacterial SSU rRNA". It matches the Rfam family "Bacterial small subunit ribosomal RNA", at positions 39 to 873 of the family's 1533-position model. The record is from RNAcentral.